RNAcentral lists this ribosomal RNA (559 nucleotides) under uncultured bacterium. Its description in RNAcentral is "partial 16S ribosomal RNA". It matches the Rfam family "Bacterial small subunit ribosomal RNA", at positions 355 to 900 of the family's 1533-position model. The record is from RNAcentral.
UGGGGAAUAUUGCACAAUGGGCGCAAGCCUGAUGCAGCCAUGCCGCGUGUGUGAAGAAGGCCUUCGGGUUGUAAAGCACUUUCAGCGAGGAGGAAGGUGGUGAACUUAAUACGUUCAUCAAUUGACGUUACUCGCAGAAGAAGCACCGGCUAACUCCGUGCCAGCAGCCGCGGUAAUACGGAGGGUGCAAGCGUUAAUCGGAAUUACUGGGCGUAAAGCGCACGCAGGCGGUUUGUUAAGUCAGAUGUGAAAUCCCCGGGCUCAACCUGGGAACUGCAUUUGAAACUGGCAAGCUAGAGUCUCGUAGAGGGGGGUAGAAAUUCCAGGUGUAGCGGUGAAAUGCGUAGAGAUCUGGAGGAAUACCGGUGGCGAAGGCGGCCCCCCUGGACGAAGACUGACGCUCAGGUGCGAAAGCGUGGGGAGCAAACAGGAUUAGAUACCCCUGGUAGUCCAGCGCUGUAAACGAUGUCGAUUUGGAGGUUGUGCCCCUUGAGGCGUGGCUUCCGGAGCUAACGCGUUAAAUCGACCGCCUGGGGGAGUACGGCCGCAAGGUUAAAAC